This is a long non-coding RNA of Ipomoea triloba (trilobed morning glory), 3012 nucleotides long. RefSeq lists it as uncharacterized. The transcript is spliced from 2 exons. Lineage: Eukaryota; Viridiplantae; Streptophyta; Magnoliopsida; Solanales; Convolvulaceae. The record is from RefSeq and is a predicted model, not a curated record.
AGUUUUUAAAACUCUUGGGCGAAUACAACCCCUAAAAUCAUGCGCAACAGCAAAGAAAAAGGAGAGGGGGAAACGCGAGAUAGAGAGACGCGGAGGGUCACGCUAUUCACCGAACCCAGCCCCCGCUUGCCGUCGAGCCAACCGGAAUUCGACGUUGUCUCUCCGUCACAGCGCCUUCUGGGGAGAGCGCAAGCGACACGGCCAAGGUCCUCCAGCCGCCAUCUCCGAUCGAGCCGGAGAUCGUCGCUUGAAAAAGUAGAGAGGUCGCCGGCCACCGCCAUGGCCGGAGCCACCUCCGAUCAGGCCGAAGGACGUCCGCGUUGCCAACUUCGAUCGCCGACCGAGACCACCAUCGACGCCGCUCAGAUCGCGACCAUCAUCGCCGAAGGCCACCAUCCGCCGCCGACGUCUCGCAGUCAGACCCGCCACCGGCGCCGCCAUAGGACUGCACCCGCCGUUCUCCUCUUCCAGAAAACAACCGCCACCAUAUCGGAAAAACCGGUUUGAUGUAGGUUCCCAAUUUUUGAAUACCUUUUCCUAUCCACCCACAACUCCAUCACCAUUCCUAGCAACUCUCAACUUUUCAGGUGCCUUGUGAAAGACUAUGUUGGGACUGUGAGAAACACUCCCUCAGGUUUUGCCGUUUUGGAGAUAUCGAUAUCUGAGGGGUUUAAGAUUGAAUCAAAGGAUGUGUUAAGGCAGAAUAAUAAGGGAUGAGAAAAAGUGAUUGUUGGUUUAGGGUAAACCAUUAUCUGCCCUGCUCGGAGCUCCAAACUGGGAUGAACGGUGGAGAUCUGAUUGGAUUUGGAGAGCAUACAGACCCACAAGUGAUCUUUGUUCUUCAACGUUGGUUAUUGUUUGCAGGUAUGCAAUUUUUUCUGUUUUCGUUUUUUAGCAUUCUUCCCUUUGUGUGAACUUGUGAAAAUAAAAAUGUAAUACCAUGUGUUUAUUAUUUAGGGAAAAUAAAAAAAUUUCCUAAAUAAUAUGCUAUAUUAUAUUAAAGAUUCGAGUUAAUACUUCCAAUGGUCUUCAAAGCGAUUUACCAGGUGUGGUCCCUCGUCUUUAAAACGACACCAGCGGACGUCCUCCAAGUUUUAAAAAGUUACCACUUGUGAUCCUCUUUUAACUUUUCUGUCAAAAGGGUGUUAAGUGGGAGGGCAAAGAUGUCCUUUCGCCAUUACUUUAAUUUCUUUGUUAGCUGACCACUCUUUCCCCCAAAUUGAGUUUGGAAAAGCUUCGCCGCCAUGAGCGUUCUUCAUACCUCCACUUCCUACAAUGUCGGAUUCGGCAUCUCCCAUCUCCCCCUUCUCUGCUCCUCCGACUAGGUCAUCUUCUUCCACUCACUGCUGCCAUGUUGCCUUCGCUGCCAGUGCAGAGCCAUUUGAGAAAUCUAUUGAAAUUAUGAGGAAGUUCUCAGAGCAGUAUGGUAUGCUCCUAAGUUGGGAAUAUAUUUCUGUAUGGAUAAAGGGGUGACUGUAGUUGUUAUCAAGGGAUUGGCAGAACACAGCGAUACAUUGGGUGCACCACUUUGCCCCUGCAGGCACUAUGAUGAUAAAACUGCAGAAGUUGAUCAAGGCUUCUGAAAUUGUCCUUGUGUACCAAUGAGAGAGAGGAAGGAGUGCAACUGCAUGCUUUUUCUCACCUGGGAUAAUGAUUUUGCUGGAGAAGAAUAGACUAUUUCUUUGGAGGAGAGCAGAGAAACAACUGCUAAUAUGUGAUUCAUCACACCUUGGACUUGUCCGCAUAUGUAGAUACGUGUGCUCACCAAUAAUAUGCUAGUAUUUCAUGUUAUUAUAUUAGGAAUACCUAUGCCCCUUUAUUAUUUCUAUUGAUCAUUCUGGAGUUUAAAAAAAAAAAAAAAAGAGCUUCCCACGGACAAGUUCCAAAAGAAGGAUUUUUUUUUAUUGAGAUCGAGAAGCCUCACCUUCCUCUUCACUCCCAAAAAUUCCAUACCCAGUAAUAUAAGAUCAGAAGAAAAACUCAUCACGUUCAUUUCCGAUUAUUGGCCACAAUUUUUCUGAAGUUUUCCACCAUAUCUAAACUGGGAAUUUUUCAUCAUAGGGUUUCUCCAAGCUACUGCAUUUUUGUCUGCUAUAUUUAGCUAAAAACAAUAGUUUAUUACAACUGUUUCUUCGUUUUCGUACGUACUGGGAAAAGAGAUUUUGUUCGCCUGUCUCUCCUUUGCUCCCCACGCUAAUUUGUAGUUUGAGGAAAUCAAGCUAAGGUUGUAAGAAGUGAAGCCGAAGUUGGUUUAAUUUUGGUUUGUCGAUUGAGAAGCACUAGCGAUCAUAACUCGGAAGAAGAUAAAGAUAAAAAAGAUCGACAACUUGCAGCCAAGCAAGGUAACAUUCUCUAAGAGGAGAAGAGGGCUUUUCAAGAUAGCUGAAGAGCUUGUCGUCCUUUGCGACGCCGACGUGAAAGGAGCAGAUUAAUCCAAUCCACAGUACAGAAAUAAUGAAAAAUUCAUUAAUAAUUCACAAGAAGAAAUAUAGGUGAAAGGAGCAGAUUAAUCCAACAUUCUAGGCUGUGAAGUGUGAACGAAGGCUUAAAAGGAAGAAAUAUAGGUGAAAAGACAGUUUUGCCCUUAUAUUUAACGCCCUUUUGACAGCAAACUUAACGGAGGACCUCGGGAGGUAAUUUUUUUAAACUAGAAGGACGUCUGGUAGUCGUUUUAAAGACGAGGGACCACACCUGGUAAAUCACUAAUACUCGGAGGACCAUUGGAGGUAUUAACUCUAAAGAUUCUGUUUACAACAAACUAUUAUUCCUUAUUAGAUUUGGGAAACGCCUUAUUAGAUUUGGGAAACACACCGGUUGUCCCAUCUAUAACGUAACCAUACUACUAAUGUCCCUCAUUUGUCAUAUUGAGUCUUUCAAAUUUCAUCAAUAAUGCAUCGAAUUAAUUGCUAAGUAUAUGUUUUAGAAAUGGACAAUUUUUGUGCCAAUUAGCACCACACAAAUACACUCACAUAUAUAUAACAAAAUAAAGAAAAUAUUUAAUUGUUGAUUCAA